This is an RNA transcript of Nycticebus coucang (slow loris), 2015 nucleotides long. RefSeq lists it as uncharacterized. The transcript has 2 exons. The record is from RefSeq and is a predicted model, not a curated record. NCBI's taxonomy places the organism in Eukaryota, Metazoa, Chordata, Mammalia, Primates, Lorisidae.
UAAGAAAUCCUGGCCCCCAAAUUACCUAGUGAAAUUGCUUUCCUGAAGAGCAGAGUGGCCUCGAGGGUAGUAACACUACUGCAGCAACUCUGUCCUUCCUCCCGGCUGCUUCCCUAAGAACUGGUUGGGAUUAACUUAGAAAUGCACCACACUGAGAGGAACCUUGGCAGUCAGCACAGGCAGGAUGCAGGCCCCGCCACAUGCUUUGUGCCACUCAGCACCGGUUUUCAUCACCUAUACAAACCACCAAGGACAAGCUCUGUGCCAGGCCUCUGGAGACGCUGGGGAGAGACGUGGAGGGGUGGGCACGGCCCGUCUGUGCCAUGACCUGGGAGACACUGGGGAGAGAUGUGGAGGGGUGGGCACGCCCCGUCUGUGCCAGGCCUCGGGAGACGCCGGGGAGAGAUGUGGAGGGGUGGGCACGGCCUGUCUGUGCCAGGCCUCGGGAGACGCCGGGGAGAGAUGAGCAGGGGUGGGCACAGCCCCAUCGGUGCCACGACCUGGGAGAUGCUGGUGAGAGAUGUGGAGGGGUGGGCACGGCCCCGUCUGUGCCAGGCCUCGGGAGACGCCGGGGAGAGAUGUGGAGGGGUGGGCAUGGCCAUGUUUCCCAGAGCCCAGUCUCCAGGAGAAGAAGCAGAGAUCAGCAUGAGUACAAAUGGCCACGAACAGACCUUAGGGGAUGUAAAAGUGCAGCGGGGGGAGAGAGAGAUUCUGACAAGCCCACCCAUGGCGGAGGCACAGUUUGAGAAGAGCUUUGAUGUUUUAGUGGGUCUUUGAUAAGCACAGGUGCUCCAAGAUAGAAAUUUUUCCCUUCUGUAAUAACCACAUUUUCUAGACCAGAAAGGCUGAAAAUGUGGAGGAGGGGUGGGAAGAAAGAGCACUUAAGGAUCCCUUGAGUCAGCAGCCCAAUUACGUCAAAAUCUAUCCCUCCCUCCUCACUGGGCCCGUGGGCCAGUAGCCACAUGGCUGCAGAUGUUUCAGACCCAACAGGUGGUGGAAAGGUGCUUUUAUCUGUUCUCAAAGUGCUUUUUAGGAGAGAGAAACCCCUGGAGAUCUUUUCCUCACCUUUCAUUGUUGAAACUUGGGUCACUUGUCCACUCCUGAAUCAACCCUGUCAACAGGAAAUGAAGUUGGCAUCCUCAUGGUCAACCGGCCCUUCUUUGGAUGAGAUCUGCACCUCCCGAGAAAGACAGCAGCUUCUGGGUCAUGGAGCAUUUGAAAAGGGCUCUCCCACUCUGCUGAAGUCUUGGGCUGUGACACCCGGCUGGAUCAAACAAAGAAACCCCUCAGCAUCCGGUGAGUUUGAUCUUUAAUUAGUACCUGCCUUAUACACAGGUUCUAGGACCUCCUCCUACCCUCUCUUAGCUUUCUAGAAUUAGCAGGGUGGACCUGGAAUUCCACAGGGAACCGAAAAGGACAUGGUUACACAAAUAAGAAAAUAGAUAAAAUUUCUAAGUUUUGCCAGUGGCUUUGCCUUCAUACAGAGAUUCCCAGAGCACCCAGCCUCAGUGCCACCUGCUGUGGCCUGUGCUCUCUCCUCAGAAGUCCAUGUCCUAUGCAGAGCCACACAGCAAGGCUGGCCACUCUUCGCAGGUGGGUAGUAGAAACUUUAUCUAUCCCUGUUUCCUUCUUGCUUUCCAACCACCAAGUGUGGUGGGCCAUACUUCAGGGGCAGCUGUAGAAAGAUCGCCCUCCAAGAGACAUGAAUAGAACUUUCUCUAAAGAUGACAGACGAAUGGCUAACAAACACAUGAAAAAAUGUUUAUCAUCUCUAUAUAUUAGAGAAAUGAAAAUCAAAACAACCCUGAGAUAUCAUCUAACCCCAGUGAGAAUGGCCCACAUCACAAAAUCUCAAAACUGCAGAUGCUGGCGUGGAUGUGGAGAGAAGGGAACACUUUUACACUGCUGGUGGGACUGCAAACUAGUACAACCUUUCUGGAAGGAAGUAUGGAGAAACCUCAAAGCACUCAAGCUAGACCUCCCAUUUGAUCCUGCAAUCCCAUUACUGGGCAUCU